GUGAUCGGCAGACAGCACACUUCCUCUCCUGAUUUAAGAUUUAGGAUUUUACUUUUUGAAAUGUUAAUGACAAGAUUUGUAAUACAUUUGUGGUCAGUUGUGUGUGUGUGUGUGUGUAUAUAUAAAACAUGUAUACAUGGUCACUUCUCUGAGUAAUGAUGAGACCGUUUCAAUGGAGGUCCUGUAGCACUUUUAAUGUGUCUAUUUAACAGGCUGUUCACCUACCUGUCCUGGCUGUUCUCCUACCUGUCCUGACCCAUCUACACACCUGCCUGUCCUGACCCAUCUACACACCCACCUGUCCUGGCUGUUCUCCUACCUGUCCUGAAUGUACAGCUACCUGUCCUGACCCAUCAACACACCUACCUGUCCUGGCUGUUCUCCUACCUGUCCUGACCCAUCAACACACCUGCCUGUCCUGACCCAUCUACACACCUACCUGUCCUGGCUGUUCUCCUACCUGUCCUGAAUGUACACCUACCUUUCCUGACCCAUCAACACACCUACCUGUCCUGGCUGUUCUCCUACCUGUCCUGACCCAUCAACACACCUGCCUGUCCUGACCCAUCUACACACCUGCCUGUCCUGACCCAUCUACACACCUGCCUGUCCUGACCCAUCUACACACCUGCCUGUCCUGACCCAUCUACACACCUGCCUGUCCCGACCCAUCUACACACCUGCCUGUCCCGACCCAUCUACACACCUGCCUGUCCCGACCCAUCUACACACCUGCCUGUCCCGACCCAUCUACACACCUGCCUGUCCCGACCCAUCUACACACCUGCCUGUCCCGACCCAUCUGCACACCUACCUGUCCCGACCCAUCUGCACACCUACCUGUCCCGACCCAUCUGCACACCUACCUGUCCCGACCCAUCUGCACACCUACCUGUCCCGACCCAUCUACACACCUACCUGUCCCGGCCCAUCUACACACCUACCUGUCCCGGCCCAUCUACACUCAACAUCCCAUAAUGACAAAGUGAAAACAUGUUUUUCGAUGCCAUUUUAUUGUUUGUAUUACAGAAAUACAGUAACGUCUCAUUUACAUAAGUUCUCACACCCCCCAGAGUCGGUACUUUGUAGAAGCAGCUUUACGGCGAUGAUCCCAGCUGUGAGGCAUUCUGGGUUUAUUGUCCUGAUGAAAGGUGAACUCCUCUCCCAGUGUCUGGUGGAAAGCUGAAACCGAACCAGGUUUUCCUCAGGAUUCUUCCUGUGUUUUGCUCCAGUCUGUUUAUUUUUUUAUCCUGAAAAACUCACCCAGUCCUUAACAAUUACAAGUAUACCCAUAACAUGAUGCAGCCACCACUAUGCUUGAAAAUAUGGAGAGUGGUACUCAGUAAUGUGUUGUAUUGGAUUUCCCUAAAUGUAAAUCUUUGUAUUCAGGACAAAAAAUAUAUUUUUUGCCACAUUUUUUUGAAGUAUUACUUUAGUGCCUUGUUGCAAACAAGAUGCAUGUUUUGGAAUAUUUGUUAUUCUGUACAGGCUUCCUUCUUUUCAUUCUGUCAUUUAGGUUAGUAUUGUAGAGUAACUACAAUGUUGAUCCAUCCUCAGUUUUCUCCUAUCACAGCCAUUAAACUCUGUACCUGUUUUUAAAAGUCACCAUUGGCCUGGUGAAAUCACUGAGUGGUUUCCUUCCUCACUGGCAACUGAGUUAAGAAGGACGCCUGUAUCUCUGUAGUGACUGGUUGUAUUGAUGCACCAUCCAAAGUGUAAUUAAUAAAAGGGAUAUUCAA
This is a long non-coding RNA of Oncorhynchus masou masou (cherry salmon), 1739 nucleotides long. RefSeq lists it as uncharacterized. NCBI's taxonomy places the organism in Eukaryota, Metazoa, Chordata, Actinopteri, Salmoniformes, Salmonidae. The record is from RefSeq and is a predicted model, not a curated record. The transcript has 2 exons.